RNAcentral lists this long non-coding RNA (3481 nucleotides) under Mytilus galloprovincialis (Mediterranean mussel). The record is from RNAcentral. Lineage: Eukaryota; Metazoa; Mollusca; Bivalvia; Mytilida; Mytilidae.
GUGAAUCUUUUUUGCUGACAUUCUGAAAAAGUAUUGUGUAGUCCAUGUGUAAGUGUUGACUCUCAAUUUACACAUGUGAUUUUUAUACCCCCGCUUUAAAAAAAAAGGGGGGGGGGGUAUACUGUUUUACCUCUGUCUGUCCUUCCGUCAGUCCGUCCGUCCGUCCGUCCCAGAAUAUUUUUCGUCGCAUUUUUCUCGCAUUUUCUCAGGAACUACUACAAUACAAGGAUUUCUGAAAUUUGGUUUCAGGGUUUAUCUAAGUCAGCUAUACCGUGUGAUGCGUUUUCAGAUUGAUCACUUGACAACUUCCUGUUUACCGAACACUUGUAUGAUUUUACACAUGAUAGCCAAGUUGAAAAUUUUCGUCACAUUUUUCUCAGGAACUACAAUACAAGGAUUUCUGAAAUUUGGUUUCAGGAUUUAUAUAAGUCAGCUAUACCGUGUGAUGCGUUUUCAGAUUCAUCACUCGACAACUUCCUGUUUACCGAACACUUGCAUAUUUUUACACUAUUAAUAUUAUCCACUUGCGGCGGGGGUAUCAUCAGUGAGCAGUAGCUCGCAGUUUCACUUGUUUUAACAUUCCCCGGACUUCUGCAAAAAACAAUUAUUCAGUUCACUGAUUAAGAUGGAAGGUAACGACAACAGAAAGUCACAGGACAUUCCGACAAAAAGUUACAGGACAAAAAGUCAGACACAUGUCAGACUAGUCCAAAUAAUUAUGACGUCUGGCAAGGCUAUUUUAUUUUUUUUCUGGGACGCCUUCCUACGUCUCAGAAAAACGUCAUAAUUAUUUGGACUAAUGUCAGACAUAAAGUCACAAAGUUGAUAGGACAAAACAUGCAAAAAGUCACAAACAAUUUGUUGACAAUUGUUUGAAUAUAAACGAAAAAGAUUUUGAAAUAUCUUCUUUUUAUUACAUAUACUCAUUUUUGAUUUAAGGAAAUUAUUCAUAAUAUAAAAAAGAAGAUGAGGUAUGAUUGCCAAUAAAACAACUGUCCACAAGAGACCAAAAUGACACAGACAUUAACAACUAUAGGUCUUUACAGCCUUCAACAAUGAGCCAAUAUAAAAAAGAUGUGGUAUGAUUGCCAAUGAGACAACUGUCCACAAGAGACCAACAUGACACAGACAUUAACAACUAUAGGUCACUGUACGGAUUUCAACAAUGAGCAAGCCCAUGCUGCAUAGUCAUGAUAGUCAGCUGUAAAAGGCAAUCAUACCAUAACUUUUUUUAUAUAUUUACAUGUAAAAAAAUGCAUGCAAAUGUAAUCAAAAGCUGCACACAAACCUAAUGAUUUUUGUGCGCAAAUGUAAUGGUAAUGUGUGCAAACCUAAUGCACCGAUUUAAUUUGUUUUUAAUAAAUUUUAAUUACAUUUAAGUUGCUACAUCAUGUUCAUGUAUAAAACUUCAAGAAAAAUACAAAAAGAGUGUUUUCUUGUUCAAAGAAAAAUAAUCUCAAAACUGAAUUGUGACUUUUUGUCCUGUGACAAUGUGUGACUUUUUGACCGUGACUUUUUGUCCUGUGACUUUCUGUCCUACAUUCAGGUUGAAUAGGGGAGUUUGGUUGACCCUGUCUCCCUCUAUCUGAGACUUCUAUCUCAGUGAUGAGCUUUAUGUUUCAUGUAUUGUGCUUGUCAUAUAUGUAUGUGGGAUAAAAGCUCUACAGAGCUUAUGUUGUAUUGAUAUAUGUAUAACCGACAAUAAAUAAAUCUUUUUUGGUAGCCCCUAACAAGUAAGAAUUAGGUUACUUCUUUUUGUUUUGACAUCUUGCAAGGGUUUUUAUACCCCCGUUUUAAAAUUAUACCCCAACUUUAAAAAGGGGGGGGGGGGGGUAUACUGUUUUACCUCUCUCUCUGUCCAUCCAUCCUUCCGUCAGUCCAUCAGUCCGUCCGUCCGAUGAAUAUUUUUUUGUCCCAUUUUUCUCAGGAACUACAAUACAAGGAUUUCUGAAAUUUGGUUUCAGGGUUUAUAUAAGUCAGCUAUACCGUGUGAUGCGUUUUCAUAUUCAUCGCUGGACAACUUCCUGUUUACCGAACACUUGUAUGAUUUUACACAUGAUAGCCAAGUUGAAAGUUGAAAACUAACAACCUUAUUUAUGUACUAAAAAUUGAAGAACAGAUAUGUUACACAUAAACAAACGACAAUCACUGAAUUAUAGGAUCCUGACUUGGAACAGGCACAUCCAUAACAAAUUGGCAGGGUAUAAGGAACAUUGAAAAUGUUUAGUUUUUGUGGUUUGGUCUAUUUUCCGGAUACUGUAAGCAAUAAGGCCCCUUUAUUUAGUGAAUGAAAAGAUUGAAAGAUGCACAUGUCUGUCUGCCAUAUUUUAUAUGAACUUGACCUCAUUUUCAUGGUUCAUUGGGCAAUGAAACACUGCAUUGUUUUGUCAGUUUAUCAUAUAUGUUUAAAGUUACAGGUAGAUUAUAUUUGGUAAAUAUGAAACAAUUGUAAGGUGUGCAUGUCUGAAUGUCAGAUUCAUAUAACCAUGACCGCAUUUUAUGGUUCUUUGGUCAAUGAUAAGUUUUCUUGGUUUUGUCAUUUUAUCAGAUUUUCUAAGCAUAGGUCUACUUGUUGUUGUAUAGAAUGACUACAAGGUAUCAUAUAAAAAAGAAGAUGUCUGCCUGCCAGGGUUAAUUUUACUGUGACCUCAUAUUCAUAGAAUAAUGAUAAUAUUCAUGAUAUUGAACAGCAAGAAUGAUGAGUAAGUUGACGUUAUAUACAAAUAAGGCAAAAUUUUCAGUUGCCUACUAAUUAUGUAAUAGUAGUUAUUCCAUAUUGGUAUUAUUUUAGUAGGUUUCUCUAUACGAAUUGGAUUUUGAACAAAAAAAGCAUAUUCACCUGGGAAAGUGUUAUUCACCGCGCUUAACAUCAGGCGCUUUUACAUGCAACGUUAUGGUAAAAUGUUUCAUGUAAAAUUUGUUUUGGUAUAUGUUUUCUUCUCUCGGAAUAUGGAAUAAAACAAUUACUGGCUUUUGUUUCGGUAAAUAUGGGGUUUAAUUGACGCUUGAAAAACUGAUAUUCACUUCGGACAUCAGCCUCAGUGAAUAUCAGUUUUUCAAAAGUCAAUAAAACCGCAUAUUUACCUUAUCAAAAGACAGUAGUUGUAUAUUAUUUUUGUCAUUAAAUGAGGUUUACCCUUUUAUGUGUAGGGCAAGAAGCAAGAACAUUAAAGAUAAAGGCGAAACUAUAAACAGAAGAAAUUAUCAACAAAAUUAGAUUUACAGAGGUCAACAAAGCCUAAAUGGUAAGUCCACUGUUAUAAAAGUUUUUGUCCUUGAAUAAUGAUUAAAUACUUAUAAAAAUAAGAUGUGGUAUGAUGAAUGAGAAAACUAUCCAUCAGAGUUCAAUUUAGUGGAUGUAAGCAUUGUAAUUACUUAUUAGAGGCCAUUGAUGACCUGUAAGUAUAAAUGAGAAAACCCAUACCCUAUACAUGUUAUAGUAAUCUAUAAAAGACAACACUAACCAAAUUUGAAACAAAGC